GAUGAACGCUGGCGGCGUGCCUAAUACAUGCAAGUCGAGCGAACGGACGAGAAGCUUGCUUCUCUGAUGUUAGCGGCGGACGGGAGAGUAACACGUGGAUAACCUACCUAUAAGACUGGGAUAACUUCGGGAAACCGGAGCUAAUACCGGAUGAUAUUUUGAACCGCAUGGUUCAAAAGUGAAAGACGGUCUUGCUGUCACUUAUAGAUGGAUCCGCGCUGCAUUAGCUAGUUGGUAAGGUAACGGCUUACCAAGGCAACGAUGCAUAGCCGACCUGAGAGGGUGAUCGGCCACACGGGAACGGAGACACGGUCCAGACGCCUACGGGAGGCAGCAGUAGGGAAUCGUCCGCAAUGGGCGAGAGCCUGACGGAGCAACGCCGCGUGAGUUAUGAAGGUCUUCGGAGCGUAAAACUCGGUUAUUAGGGAAGAACAGAUGUGGAAGUAACUGUGCACAGCUUGACGGUACCUAAUCAGAAAGCCACGGCUAACUACGUG
This 497-nucleotide ribosomal RNA is filed under the name uncultured bacterium. RNAcentral's name for it is "partial 16S ribosomal RNA". It matches the Rfam family "Bacterial small subunit ribosomal RNA", at positions 28 to 507 of the family's 1533-position model. The record is from RNAcentral.